CCGACUGAGUUUGGCCAAUAGGGAAAAAGGAACAAGCAACAGCAGGUGGUGCCAGGAUUCUCUUUGGAGAAUGCUUAAAUUCUGCCCUCGGAGUCACCUUGGUCACUUUCUCCUGAAUCUCCUAGAGAAGUUCUAGGAAGAUCAUUUCCUUCAUCUUCCUGGAAUUAUCUAACUGCUCAGCGUUCUUGUGCUCAGACUUCAGUCUCAAUUUCACCAUGUGGUCCAUCAUCUUCGUUCUCCUGUUGGGGUUCCUCUGCCCUGGACACAGCGUCCCUCUGAGACCUCACAACCCUGACGCAGAUGGAACGCCAAACGCUCCUUCUGUCUACAUCCUUCCGUCUCCAGCAGAACAACUGAAUUUGCAAAAAUAUGUCAUUCUCAUAUGCUUCGUUCAAAAUUUUUAUCCCAGCAAUUUAUCUGUGGAAUGGCUCCAGAAUGAGCAGCCGGUCAGUGAAUCAGGGAACCACACUGGCCAACCCAAUUUACAGUCCAACACACUCAAUUUUGCGUCUAGCAGUUUGAGCAUCAGAAAGCAGGAGUGGGAUUCUGGAGAUUCAUUCACAUGCCAGGUGACCAACAGAGCCGUGCCAUCCAAAGUCAUUCAGAAGACCAUAAAGAAGAACAUGGGGAAAUGAUCUAUAAUGUCUCCGUAAUCGUCUCUGACGGCAGAAGUACUUGCUUCCCAUUUCUUUUGAGAAACCUUCGUGCGUUCGGUUCCCACCAGCCUCUCUUUUCUCCUACUUCGUGAUGGAUAAUUCAUGAAAGCGUUCGUUGGCCGCAUCUUUCUGAAGACAAGAAAUAUUGUGUCAUCAAGUAUUUUUCUCAAAACAAGUAAAAAAAUAAUAAUAAUCUGGGGGUAAGGCAGUGGUGAAAUGGAAAAUUUGUUACUACAAGUUCUGUGGACGUGGCUUGGUGUGUGUGUGUGUGUGUGUGUGUGUGUGUGUGUGUGUGUGUGUGUGUGUGUGUAAUGUGACUGGGUGGGUGUGGUCAACUUUUUUUUUUACUUUUACAAGCAUUUUUUCUACAACCUCUU
Ahaetulla prasina is the source of this 1033-nucleotide non-coding RNA. Lineage: Eukaryota; Metazoa; Chordata; Lepidosauria; Squamata; Colubridae. The record is from the annotation of a RefSeq genome assembly.